Molecule: ribosomal RNA, 374 nt
Filed under: uncultured bacterium
Lineage: Bacteria
Description: bacterial SSU rRNA
Rfam family: Bacterial small subunit ribosomal RNA
Source: RNAcentral
CCUUGGGGGCGGGGUACCGGUGGUGCAUGGCUGUCCUCCGCUCCUGGCCUGAGAUGUUGGGUUAAGUCCCCCAACGAGCGCAACCCCUGUCCUGUGUUGCCAGCAUGCCCUUGUGGUGCUGGGGACUCACAUGACACCGCCGGGGUCAACUCGGAUGAAGGUGGGGACGACUUCUAGUCCUCAUGCCCCUUAUGUCUUGGGCUGUACACCUGCGACCAUGGCCGGUACCAUGAACUGCGAUACCGUGAGGUGGACCGAAUCUCACAAAGCCGGUCUCAGUUCGGAUUGGGGUCUGCAACUCCACCCCAUGAAGUCGGAAUUGCUAGUAAACCCAGAUCACCGUUGCUGCGGUGAAUACCUUCCCUGGCCUUGUA